Non-coding RNA from Henosepilachna vigintioctopunctata, 75 nucleotides. The record is from the annotation of a GenBank genome assembly. Lineage: Eukaryota; Metazoa; Arthropoda; Insecta; Coleoptera; Coccinellidae.
GCGUCCUUGGCUUAGUCGAGAAAACAGCCGACUUCGGUACGGUAGGAUUCGGGUUCGAGUCCCGGGGAGGGCAUG